This 303-nucleotide long non-coding RNA is filed under the name Homo sapiens (human). Its description in RNAcentral is "non-protein coding lnc-GRIN3A-1:1". The record is from RNAcentral. Lineage: Eukaryota; Metazoa; Chordata; Mammalia; Primates; Hominidae.
AUCAACCUGACACUAGCCUGAAUAACCGACACCUUACUGGCCCUAUUACUAAUAAUAAUAACAUUUUGGCUCCCACAACUUAAUAUUUAUAUAGAAAAAUCUGACCCCUAUGAAUGCGGAUUCGACCCAAUAACUUCCGCCCACCUCCCCUUUUCCAUAAAAUUCUUCCUAGUAGCCAUCAUGUUCCUCUUGUUCGACUUAGAGAUCACUCUACUACUACCGCUGCCAUGAGCCCUUCAAACAACCAACCUGACACUAAUAAUCAGCACAGCCCUUAUAUUAGUUACCAUUUUAAUCCUAGGU